AUUGAACGCUGGCGGCAGGCCUAACACAUGCAAGUCGAGCGGAUGAAGGGAGCUUGCUCCUGGAUUCAGCGGCGGACGGGUGAGUAAUGCCUAGGAAUCUGCCUUGUAUUGGGGGAUAACGUCCGGAAACGGGCGCUAAUACCGCAUCCGUCCUGAGGGAGAAAGUGGGGGAUCUUCGGACCUCACGCUAUCAGAUGAGCCUAGGUCGGAUUAGCUAGUUGGUGGGGUAAAGGCCUACCAAGGCGACGGUCCGCAACUGGUCUGAGAGGAUGAUCAGUCACACUGGAACUGAGACACGGUCCAGAAUCCUAAGGGAGGGAGCAGUGGGGAAUAUUGGAGCAUGGGCGAAAGGCUGAUCCAGCCAAGGCGCGUGUGUGAAGAAGGUCUUCGGAUUGUAAAGCACUUUAAGUUGGGAGGAAGGGCAGUAAGUUAAUACCUUGCUGUUUUGACGUUACCAACAGAAGAAGCACCGGCUAACUUCGUG
Molecule: ribosomal RNA, 484 nt
Filed under: uncultured bacterium
Lineage: Bacteria
Description: partial 16S ribosomal RNA
Rfam family: Bacterial small subunit ribosomal RNA
Source: RNAcentral